GCACAGCAAAUAUUAAGGUUUAAAUUCAUCUGUGACAGUACUUUCAUGGGUCUUUCAUUUAUCAAAGCCAAAACAUAGAAGCACUAGGUCUAAGAUAAAACUUGUUUUUUGUCCUUUGUUGUCAAUAGUGAAAUAGCUAAAUUUGAGGUCUUGUGUAGGAACUGCUCCCUGAAGAAAACCUUGCUGAUAAUGACAUAGAGUAAUAAUAUGAUAUAGCAAAGCUAACUAAUUUGGUAGAUGA
RNAcentral lists this long non-coding RNA (241 nucleotides) under Homo sapiens (human). RNAcentral's name for it is "HSALNT0127097". Lineage: Eukaryota; Metazoa; Chordata; Mammalia; Primates; Hominidae. The record is from RNAcentral.